CUUUACUGCUGGAUGGGAAAGUUGACUUCGGGUCGUUUUUCACAUACCUGAAGGACUGGGCUGCCAUUGGGACAACCCAUCCCGACUUGCCGAUCUUGACCCUGGUGUAUGAAGAUCUAAAAGAGGAUCCACUUUCCGGUAUUAGAAAGUUAGCUAAGUUUCUGAAUGCUGAGAAAUCAGAGGAAUUCUACCUUAAAGUAAAAGAGUUG
Molecule: long non-coding RNA, 209 nt
Organism: Haliotis rufescens (red abalone)
Lineage: Eukaryota; Metazoa; Mollusca; Gastropoda; Lepetellida; Haliotidae
Exons: 3
Source: RefSeq, a predicted model, not a curated record